Molecule: long non-coding RNA, 316 nt
Organism: Cyclopterus lumpus (lumpfish)
Lineage: Eukaryota; Metazoa; Chordata; Actinopteri; Perciformes; Cyclopteridae
Exons: 3
Source: RefSeq, a predicted model, not a curated record
AGGGAGUUGGGGUACAAUAACAACACCUCAUCCAUGCUAAGGCAUUACCGUGCCUUGCAUGAGAAUAAGGAGGAAACUGGAGCUUCACCCAGCCAUGCCACCAGAAAACAAGAGCUGGAUGAAGCCCUCGUCUCCAUGAUAGUGAAGGACACACAGCCUUUCACUGUUGUGGAUGAUGUUGGAUUCAGGGCAUUUGUGUCCAAACUGGAUCCUAAUUAUGUUAUCCCUACAAGGCAGGCUCUGAAGGCCAUGGUGGAGGCCAAGUAUGAGUUGGCUAAGGAGAAGGCUAAGGCUAAAAUGGAAACGGUGGUUGCUG